GCGCACCUGUUUAAUACCGAUGACUAGGAGAGACGAAAUCCAUCGUACUCGUAAACAGUAUUUUAGCAUACGGAUAUACGAAUAUUCCCGAUUUAAAAACAAUAAUAAACCGCGCAGGAGUGGACGAAUCCGCGACCGAACGACUGCGAAUAGAAUACAAAUCGUUAGGAAUAUACAGAUUGUUAUACUGCGCAGCAAUCUCCGU
Non-coding RNA from Cinara cedri, 205 nucleotides. The record is from the annotation of a GenBank genome assembly. Lineage: Eukaryota; Metazoa; Arthropoda; Insecta; Hemiptera; Aphididae.